RNAcentral lists this non-coding RNA (46 nucleotides) under Xyrichtys novacula (pearly razorfish). It matches the Rfam family "Histone 3' UTR stem-loop". Rfam says of the family: The mRNAs of metazoan histone genes lack a poly-A tail. 3' end processing occurs at a site between a highly conserved stem-loop (modelled by this family) and a purine rich region around 20 nts downstream (the histone downstream element, or HDE). The record is from RNAcentral. Lineage: Eukaryota; Metazoa; Chordata; Actinopteri; Labriformes; Labridae.
ACAAAGGCUCUUUUAAGAGCCACACACUAUCUCUAAGAGUCAAUUU